UCUGGCUUUAAGCCAAGCGGUCUCGCUAGAGUGCCCAACUAAAUGAUGGUAACUAGCGACAAGGGUUGCGCUCGUUGCGGGACUUAACCCAACAUCUCACAACACGAGCUGACGACAGCCAUGCAGCACCUGUCUCGGCGUCUCCGAAGAGAACCCCUACUUUCAUAGGGUAGCACCGGAUGUCAAGUCUGGGUAAGGUUUUUCGCGUAGCAUCGAAUUAAACCACAUGCUCCACCGCUUGUGCGGGCCCCCGUCAAUUCCUUUGAGUUUUAAUCUUGCGACCGUACUUCCCAGGCGGGAUACUUAAUGCGUUAGCUGCGACACCGCGACAAUUAGGUAUCGCGACGUCUAGUAUCCAUCGUUUAGGGCGUGGACUAC
This 378-nucleotide unclassified non-coding RNA is filed under the name uncultured delta proteobacterium. Its description in RNAcentral is "contains 16S-23S intergenic spacer region". The record is from RNAcentral. Lineage: Bacteria; Deltaproteobacteria.